GGAUUGUGGCUCAGUGGUAGAGCGCUUGCCUAGCACGUGUGAGGCCCUGGGUUCAAUCCUCAGCACCA
RNAcentral lists this transfer RNA (68 nucleotides) under Marmota monax (woodchuck). RNAcentral's name for it is "tRNA.Ala". The stretch from base 5 to 65 matches the Rfam family "tRNA", at positions 6 to 65 of the family's 71-position model. Rfam says of the family: Transfer RNA (tRNA) molecules are approximately 80 nucleotides in length. Their secondary structure includes four short double-helical elements and three loops (D, anti-codon, and T loops). Lineage: Eukaryota; Metazoa; Chordata; Mammalia; Rodentia; Sciuridae. The record is from RNAcentral.